RNAcentral lists this unclassified non-coding RNA (368 nucleotides) under uncultured fungus. RNAcentral's name for it is "sequence contains ITS1". The stretch from base 1 to 105 matches the Rfam family "5.8S ribosomal RNA", at positions 50 to 154 of the family's 154-position model. The record is from RNAcentral. Lineage: Eukaryota; Fungi.
GAAAUGCGAUAAGUAAUGUGAAUUGCAGAAUUCAGUGAAUCAUCGAAUCUUUGAACGCACAUUGCGCUCUUUGGUAUUCCGAAGAGCAUGCCUGUUUGAGUAUCAGCUGCAAAACUCCACCCGGGCGGUUGUUAAAAUCUUUCUGGUGGGAUUUGAGCUCUCUGGCCUUUGGGUCAGCGGCUUUAAAUAUAGCGAACAGCGGCCUGGCCUCGUCAAGCAACUCUGAUGCACUGAUUGAUGCCUUGGCGUCAUAUUUCGUCUCUGUUGUGAGGUAUAACCGGACUGUCACCUCGGCUAGCGCUGAAAUCGGAAGCGAAAGCUUUCUGAAGAUUGAUCUCAAAUCAGGUAGGACUACCCGCUGAACUUAA